Long non-coding RNA from Alosa sapidissima (American shad), 687 nucleotides. RefSeq lists it as uncharacterized. NCBI's taxonomy places the organism in Eukaryota, Metazoa, Chordata, Actinopteri, Clupeiformes, Clupeidae. The transcript is spliced from 2 exons. The record is from RefSeq and is a predicted model, not a curated record.
AGCCCACCUGUAGUCUCCUACAUCCAUCACCAAUCAGUUCACACCUCACACUUUGUGAAGGUUGAUGGACAAGUCCACCUGAGGACCAUCAGAUAUUUUCAUAUUGUAUUCACAUGGAAUUGUCUUACCCAUAAUCCUUUGUCAUUAUCAUUUGCAUUGCAAAUGCUGUAUUCUUGCAGCUGAUUGGGUAAAAAGGACUCCAGUAUGGCAACAGGUCAGAUAAAGGUCUUAUAAGAGAGAGUGGUGGUCACAGGGAUGCUGUGUAGGUGUAUGUUAUCAACAGGACAACUGUACUGUUCUUUUGGUCAUGUACAUACAUUUUGUUACUUUAAACUAAAGGAAAGUUCAGGAGGAUUUCUUUGGCACAGCAGAACUUCAGUCUGAAAUGGCAGAACCAGCAAUACCAGUGAAGAAGAUCAAAGAAGAAGACUUUGAUAAUUUCCUCCGUGAACAUAUUUUGGCCAGUAAAUUGGAAGAUAAGACUGUACUGGAACAUGACUUUAAGACAGAGACAGAAACAUCAUCAACCUGUAGAGAAGAGGAGUUCACACCAGUGGAAAGUAAAGAGGAAAACGAUUCUGAUUCUGGAGAAAAUGAUGACCAUAAUGACUCCUCUACUACAAGAGCAGUCCAAAUGAUCACAGCUGGUAAGAGUACCGUUGCUGGUUCAGAUAUCAACCCAAAUAA